This 492-nucleotide ribosomal RNA is filed under the name uncultured bacterium. RNAcentral's name for it is "partial 16S ribosomal RNA". It matches the Rfam family "Bacterial small subunit ribosomal RNA", at positions 29 to 507 of the family's 1533-position model. The record is from RNAcentral.
AGUGAACGCUGGCGGUAGGCCUAACACAUGCAAGUCGAACGGCGGCACAGUAAGAGCUUGCUCUUACGGGUGGCGAGUGGCGGACGGGUGAGGAAUACAUCGGAAUCUACUUUUUCGUGGGGGAUAACGUAGGGAAACUUACGCUAAUACCGCAUACGACCUACGGGUGAAAGCAGGGGAUCUUCGGACCUUGCGCGAUUGAAUGAGCCGAUGUCGGAUUAGCUAGUUGGCGGGGUAAAGGCCCACCAAGGCGACGAUCCGUAGCUGGUCUGAGAGGAUGAUCAGCCACACUGGAACCGAGACACGGUCCAGACUCCUACGGGAGGCAGCAGUGGGGAAUAUUGGACAAUGGGCGCAAGCCUGAUCCAGCCAUACCGCGUGGGUGAAGAAGGCCUUCGGGUUGUAAAGCCCUUUUGUUGGGAAAGAAAAGCAGCAGGUUAAUACCCCGCUGUUCUGACGGUACCCAAAGAAUAAGCACCGGCUAACUUCGUG